GUGCAGCAGGCGCGAAACCUCCGCAAUGCGGGAAACCGCGACGGGGGACCCCGAGUGCCGUGGCAAUGCUACGGCUUUUCCGGAGUGUAAAAAGCUCCGGGAAUAAGGGCUGGGCAAGGCCGGUGGCAGCCGCCGCGGUAAUACCGGCGGCCCGAGUGGUGGCCGCUAUUAUUGGGCCUAAAGCGUCCGUAGCCGGGCCCGUAAGUCCCUGGCGAAAUCCCACGGCUCAACCGUGGGGCUUGCUGGGGAUACUGCGGGUCUUGGGACCGGGAGAGGCGAGGGGUACCCCUGGGGUAGGGGUGAAAUCCUAUAAUCCCAGGGGGACCGCCAGUGGCGAAGGCGCCCCGCUGGAACGGGUCCGACGGUGAGGGACGAAGGCCAGGGGAGC
RNAcentral lists this ribosomal RNA (388 nucleotides) under uncultured microorganism. Its description in RNAcentral is "bacterial SSU rRNA". It matches the Rfam family "Archaeal small subunit ribosomal RNA", at positions 330 to 720 of the family's 1478-position model. The record is from RNAcentral.